This is a long non-coding RNA of Pongo pygmaeus (Bornean orangutan), 5848 nucleotides long. RefSeq lists it as uncharacterized. The record is from RefSeq and is a predicted model, not a curated record. Lineage: Eukaryota; Metazoa; Chordata; Mammalia; Primates; Hominidae. The transcript is spliced from 3 exons.
UGAAUUUCAAAAUAUUUUUUAGUAAAGUGUAUCAAUAUUUGGAACAUCUGCAUUAUUCGAUGAACCAAUAUUUUCCCAAUGGCCAUGCCAAUAUGAUAAAAAUCAUGAUUGGUAAAAGACCCAUUAACAUUGAAAAUAGACUUAUAGGUUUUAAUGUUAUAUAGCAGAAAAAGCAUAUGAUGUGGUGUCAUGUCUCCCAUUGCAAUAACCUGAAUAAAGCAUUUGUUUGAAGAUCAAAGAAGAAGAACAAUAGUUGGCCAAAAAUACUUAAUUUUUUUUUUUUUUUUGAGAUGGAGUUUCACUCUAUCACCAGGCUGGACACAAUCUUGGCUCACUGCAACCUCCACCUCCUGGGUUCAAGCGAUUCUCCUGCCUCCGCCUCCCAAAUAGCUGGGAUUACAGGCACUCACCACCACGCUGGCUAAUUUUUGUAUUUGUAGUAGAGACGGGGUUUCACCAUGUUGGCCAGGCUGGUCUCGAACUCCUGACCUCAAGUGAUCCGCCCGCCUCAGCCUCUGAAAGUGCUGGGAUUACAGGUGUGUGCCACUACACCUCGUCCAAAAAUUCUUUUAAAUUAUUCUUCCUUUCUACAAUUUCAUGUCUGUGUGGGGCACUAUUUUCUUCACACACUUAGUCAAAACAACAUAUUGCAACAGAUUGAAUUCAGAAGCAGAUAUGAGUAUCAAGCUGUCUUCAGUUAAGUCAGACAUUUUGCAAAAAUGUAAGAACAUUGCAACUCUUCAAACUGUUUGGGGACUUGUUUUAUUUUAAAAUACUAUUUUGUUAGCAUGAACUGAAUUUAUUAUUUGUAAACAUAUUACUAAUUUUUUUUUUGAAGUGGAAUCUUGCUCUGUCUCCAGGCUGGAGUGCAGUGGUGCGACCUUGGCUCACUGCAACCUCCACCUCCUGGGUUCAAGUGAUUCUCUGGCCUCAGCCUCCCGAGUAGCUGGGACUACAGGCGCCCGCCACCACGCCUGGCUAUUUUUGUGUGUGUGUGUGUGUGUGUGUAUUUUUAGUACAGAUGGGGUUUCAGCAUGUUGGCCAGGAUGGUCUUGAUCUCUUGACCUUGUGAUCCACCCGCUUCGGCCUCCCCAAGUGCUGGGAUCACAGAUGUGAGCCACCGCACCCUGCCAAUAUUUACUAAUUUAGAAGUCCUAAUUUCUCUUAUGAUAAUCAUUAAUAGAAAUAAUACAUAUGAAUAAAGUUGGGCGAGAGAGAAAGGUUUGGAAGUUGUCAAUGUUUUUUCCUUUUAACUUAUUUAAAAUUCAAGUGUCAUGUCUACAAAGUGGCUGCAAAACUCAUAAAUUAAAAUAGAGACCUUAUUCCUCCACACUCCUUCCUUUAGUUUCAUUUUUUCCUCCUAUCAUAGGGUUUAUCACUAUUAUUUUUAAUCUUGUCAUCCCAACUAAAUUAUGAAGUCCUGCAGAAAAAGAAAGUUAUGUGCUUUAUUUUUUACUUAUUCGUACUUAGCACCAUGAAUUUCUUAGGGAUUGUUCUUUAAAAUAAAAAUUAAAUAACAUCAGGCGUGGGGGCUCACGCCUGUAAUCCCAGCACUUUGGGAGGCUGAGGUGGGCAGAUUACCUGAGGUCAGGAGUUUGAGAACAGCCUGGUCAACAUUGCGAAACCCCGUCUCUACUGAAAAUACAAAAUUAGCCAGGCGUGGCGGCGCUCGCCUGUAAUCCCAGCUACUCAGGACACUGAGACAGGAGAAUCGCUUGAACGUGGGAGGCAGAGUUUGGAGUGAGCUGAGAUUGUGCCACUGCAAUCCAGCCUGGGUGAUAGAGCAAGAUUCCAUCUUAAAAAUAAAUAAAUAAACAAACAAAAACAUCAGUUAGCAAUGUUGUCAUUUAGGCAUAUUUAGGUAUUAAUUCUAUCACUUACCAGACCUUAAUAUUUUAAAUUGUUGAUCAUGGAAUUUGUUGAUUUGAAUCUGAACAACCUUAAUUAUUUUCAAGUAGUUUUUCCUUCAAUUAAAUUAUAUUAACUUUAUAUUUAUUUGAAAUAAUUUAUUUUCAUGUUUUUAUUAAACUUUAAUCAAUGUUUUGUGCUUUUAUAGCCAUGUGAAAUAUUGAUUUGUUUCUUAAAUAUUGAUUUUAAAAACAAUGCAAUCAGUUGAUAUUUAUUAUUGAAAAGUACUAGAAUUUCACAAUCUUAAUAAAUAUUGAUAAUUAUUGUCAUUUAGAAAAAUAAGACUGGUGUAGGAAUGAAGACAGAAGAAGGAGUAAGAAAGGGUGACACUCUAUUACCCAGGCUGGUGCAAUCACAACUCACUGCAGCCUCAACUUCCUGAGCUCAAGCGAUCCUCCCACCUCAGCCUCCCAAGUACCCGAGACCACAGGCAUGUGACACCACACCUGGUGUAUUUUAGUAUUUUCUUGUACACAGAGGGUUUUGCCAUGUUUCUCAGGGUGGUCUCAAACUCCUGGGCUCAAAGGAACCCCCUGCCUCAGCUUCUCAAUGUGCUGUGAUUACAGGCUAAGACUCCCUCCUUUUGGUAGAGGCUUUUUAUGCCAUUUGGGAAUGGUUUGGAUAAGCUACCUUAAUGAAGGACCACACAACCCUCCAGAGAUGAUAGAAGACUUUUUGUCUUUUCUGGUAAGCCCUUUCUGGAAUAAAGAUCAGUGUCUUUCUGGAUUAGUCUUGGUUUCUACAGAUUUUACUUUCUGUCUGUGAGGUAUAUAUUCUAGUGAAUUUACUUUCAAAUUGAUCUGCAUGCCUAGUUUAAUAUUUUGAUCUGCAUGUCUAGGUUAAAAUUUUUGUGAACAAUCUUCUCUUGGUUUCUUAUGAUUUUGUUUGACUCUUUAUCCUUGUUUCUGAAAUUCUCCCAAGAGCAAAUGUAAACAUUCCAAAUGGUGGGUCAGGAUGGCUAACUAAAAGCUGCCAGGACAGCUGUCACCCUCUAAAACAAUGGCCUAAAGCCCUGAAAUUCCAUGACAGGAUUUAUAGGAUUUUCUCUACUCUUGCAAGAUUAAUGAAAAACAGAAUGGUUGCCCGGUGCUGUGCCUCACGCCUGUAAUGCCAGCACUUUGGGGGGCCAAGGUGGGUGGAUCACGAGGUCAAGAGAUCAAGACCAUCCUGGCCAACAUGGUGAAACCUCAUCUCUAUUAAAAUACAAAAAAAAAAAAAAAUUCGCCAGGUGUGGUGCCAUGUGCCUGUAGUCCCAGCUACUCGGGAGGCUGAGGCAGGAGAAUCGCUUGAACUUGGGAAGUGGAGGUUGCAGCAAGCCGUGAUUGUGCCACUGCAUGAGAGUCUGUCGACAGAGCGAGACUCCAUCUUAAAAAAAAACCAAAAACCAAAAAACAAAACAGAAUCGCAUUCUCAAACAUUAAGGCAUGCUAGGUUUUCUGGGACUCCAGCUGGUUAUAUAUUAUGGGUUAUAUUUUUAACUUGCUGGAAAAAUUACAUCAAGGAAAACUCAGAUCUCCAAUAGUCAUUAUUUGAAAAACCUGCAAUUAUAGAGUUAACAUGUAGAGUUUUCUAAGUUCUCUGUAUACCUCUCUCUGUUCUUCUUCUGCCCAUUCUUCUUCUGCCCUUUCACUGUUUAUGGAAUUCUGGCCUGUGCCCCAAAUCUUAAAGAGUUUUCAAAUUAAUGGCUUUAUAAAUUACAACAGCUUCAUGAUAUCAACAAGUGAGAUAAUUUUUAGAAAUAUAAAUUUAAUUCUAAAAUACCGUGUGUUAAGAAAAAGUAAGAAAUAUAAAUUUAGAUUUACCUGACUUACAAUUGUGUACAAUGACAGAAUACUUAAUUAGAAGUUAAUAUAAGAGAAAAAUAACUAGAUAAAUAUUUAUGAAAUUAGGCUCUCAGAUCAAACAGGUCAAAACCUUGACCUUACAGCAAUAAUCUAAGGUAUGUCUAGCACAAAAAUUUUGCUAUUUCUGCCAUGCAAAAGCAAAAAAUAAAAAUUAUAAAUAACUUAAAACCGCUAAAAAUCUUUCCUGUCCACACUUGCUAGUCAAGCAAAUCACACUGGCAAACAGAAAAUAGAUUUGCUACUAAUUCAAGGUUACAUGGAGAUUUUAUUUUCCUUAUACCAUUUAUCCAGUCCCAGCUUAAAUGUAAACAUUGAAAAUAUAACCCUAAACUCAUUUGAAACUUAAGAAAAGGUGAAAAAAGUUUUUUAAAAAGUCAAACUGCCAUGGAAACUGCUUUAUCCAAACUGUGGUUCACAGCACUUAUUAGAUUACCUAUCGUGGCAAAUAAAUUUUAGCCAUGUUUUACAUUUUGCCAAAAAAUAUAAUUUGGGUCCAACUGUCUUUUAUAAACUGGUGGAUUAGUAAUACUAUCUCAUGACUAGAAGUCUAACAUAAAAAAACCAUGAGAUCUGUUAUUUGUGUGUGUAUAUGUAGUCAGAUGUGUUUAUGCAUAUACACAUGUAUUUUGUUAUAUGUUUUGUCUACAUGGUAAAAUCUGGUGUAGUGAUCCAGAAAUCCCUUAAUAAAGUCUAUUUAGAUAAAUGGCCUCAUGAAAUAUACAAUAAUUAACCUAAAUGCUUUUUAAUUCAUGUGACUUAAUUAAAUCUGUGAUAAAUAAACUAUUCUAAAAUUAGUGGUAAAAUAAAAAUAGAAAUAUCUUCAAAAUGGUCAGUGUACAUUUUACCCGAGUUUACUGGUCAGAUGGUUUUAUAUUUGUCUCUUCUAGAAAUCUGUUAUUAUGUGGGUGGCAAGCCACCCAGGUGCCCAGGCAAGAGAUGGAGGGCAAGAGCUGUUUCCAGUGUAAUAAAGAAAAUAUAUAAAAUAAGAAUAGUUAAACUAGAUAUAGAUCAUAGAUAUGAUUAUAAAUGAAUAUUAUUAAUCAUUAGUUUGUAGCAAUUACUCUUUAUUCCAAUAUUAUGAUAAUCCUCACUCUGCAAUCAUAACCUAGGAAAAACCAGACAAUGCAGAGAUAGGAGCUGAGGGGACAUAGUGAGAAGUGACCAGAAGACAAGGGCUCCUUGGUCUAGCGGUAACACCAGUGUCUGGGAAGAUGCCUGUCACCUAAGCGGACCGUGGUCUAGCAGUAGUGUCAGUGCCAAGGAAAAGCACCCACUACUUAGCAGACCAGGAAAGGGAGUCUCCCUUUCCCCGGGGGAGUUUAGAGAAGACUCUGCUCCACCACUUCUUGUGGAGGCCUGAUCAUCUCCCUGGGAUGCUGUGCUUCAGUGGUCACGCUCCUAGUCCGCUUUCAUGUUCCAUCCUGUACACCUGGCUCACAUUUUAGAUAGCAGUAGCAAAAUUAGUGAAAGUACUAAAAGUCUCUGAUAUGCAGAAAUAAUGGUAUAAGCUGUCUCCACUCUGUCUCUCUCUCUCCCCACCUCAGCUGCCAAACAGGGAAGAGCCCCUGUCCAGUGGACAUGUGACCCACGUGACCUUACCUAUCAUUGGAGAUGGCUCACACUCCUUACCCUGCCCCUUGUCUUGUAUCCAAUAAAUAACAGUGCAGCCUGGCAUUUGGGGCCACUACUGGUCUCUGUGUCUAGGUGGUAGUGGUCCCCUGGGCCCAGCUGUCUUUUCUUCUCUUUGUCUUGUGUCUUUAUUUCUAUGGUCUCUCAUCUCCACACACGAGGAGAAAACCCACCAACCCUGUGGGGCUGGUCCCUACAUUAUUAGUCAUAAUUUUGGUUGCUAUGUUAACUUUUUCCUAGAGUUAUAUUUAUGUAGAUAUGUUAUAUGGAUUUCUAUACCCAUAUAACUUUCUAUAUUGCUAUAAAAUUGUUCUCACCCAUAAAAUACUGAUAAUACUGAUAUGUGACAGAUUUCUUGCUUCCUAAGUUUUCACUAUAAUUUAAGGUUACUACAAGUUUAAAAUUCUAAUUAAUAUAGGCCAGGUACAGUGGCUCAUGCCUGUGAUCCCAGCACUUUGUGAGGCCGA